CAAGUGCAAACAGGGACGAAAAUCGCGCCGGCGACCGAGACGGGUUGAUUACGCGUACGUUUGUACACAUGCUUCCGAGCCAUUGUCAGCAUCUCGUGGUGUAUCGCUUACACCUAGGUAAGUACUGCUCUCGUACCUAGUCGAACGUUAUUUUCGGUCACUCGGCGCGAUGACCGCGAGCCGCGUAUCGACAGCAGAAGUUGAAGCGACGCCGUUGUUAUGUGUUUCGACGGUUUCAACGUCCUUGCGACGGUGUUUGCGACUCGUGUCUUGGUGAUGUAUCGUGCGUUGUGCAACACGGAUCGUAUGCCUGCUCGUCAUCCUGCACGUUCUGAAGGUAAAUCAAAAUGAUUCGACGUAGCCCAACACGGAUCGACCUGAAGCUCGAUGAUUUGUUGGAAUUUGAGGCUAUAAGGAAGGAACGGGAAA
Diprion similis is the source of this 429-nucleotide long non-coding RNA. RefSeq lists it as uncharacterized. The record is from RefSeq and is a predicted model, not a curated record. The transcript is spliced from 2 exons. NCBI's taxonomy places the organism in Eukaryota, Metazoa, Arthropoda, Insecta, Hymenoptera, Diprionidae.